This 3023-nucleotide long non-coding RNA is filed under the name Varroa destructor (honeybee mite). RNAcentral's name for it is "uncharacterized LOC111251822, transcript variant X2". The record is from RNAcentral. Lineage: Eukaryota; Metazoa; Arthropoda; Arachnida; Mesostigmata; Varroidae.
UCCACCAACAGAUGAUCCGUUCAUGCCCCGUUGUGCCAGCUGCUGGACGACAAUACGUCGGCUAAGGCGAUAAGCGAAACAUGGAAACGUUCCGUUUGCAUAAAACUUGGAAAUCGGUAGAAUUGUGAUUGAAAAAUGACGCUUCUGUCCCACCUAAAGGCGUGUGUCGUUUUUUUUGGUUUCAUAUUUAAACUAUGUGCCGAAGACAACAGUGACGAAGAUAGAAGUUGAAGAAGGUGAGCCAGUAACCGCUGGGGUGGCAGGAGACGGGUUGAACUGUUAAUCGCAAUUAUAAAGGCGUAAAGGUCUAACGCAGGCAACAGCGUAUACGUCAGGCCGGCACUGAUUCUACGACACGAUCAGCGGAACCUACUGGCCACGAAAUUACGUACGACAACGAUCAAACCUAAAAUACAUCUCUAGGCACCUUUCACAUGAUACACGUCGCUCGUAAAUCGUUACGCGAACGGACACUGCGACAAUCGAUCGUGGCUUAAACGUGUGGAUCUUGGUUUCCGUUGAGCUACUGCCAUCAUUGACCAGAGGAAUCACUGCAAAGGCGCUCAGACAUUUCUGUCCCCUGACGCAAGCAUUCAAUGACGGGAAAAGCUGUGAGGCAGGAGUAUAAACUACUUUCUGCAAGUGUCUAUGCUAUACUAACACAUAUCUCCUUAAAAAUCGAUAAUCAUCCCUAUAUAGCUCGCUUCGUUACUGAACAGCAUCCAACAUUUAAGGGAUUUUCUAUUAGAGAAUAUAGGUUGAUUCAUCAAUACCGGUUGCAUGUAUGUAUGUAUGUAUGUAUGUAUAUAUAUAUAUAUAUAUAUGUUUAAUUAUUGGCGAUCUGAGCAAAAACAAAUAACUUAUUAUUUAAUCGAGAGAAAGAGAAGUGGCUCAAUAGUACAAAACAUGUCUAUUCUACAGAAAGGUGUCUACUUUCCAACUGUUUUGGACAAACGUAAGAAGGAACCUUUUUCGCGGAACAAUAACGAAACGAAGUCGGCUGAUCUACAGCCAGUGCGCGAAUCAUCCACAUGUUUCUCUACAAGACACCACCGUAAGGAGAUUAAGAGUCACGUUUAUCCGUCCGCAGUGAGACAUCUGCAUGCACAGCACAUAGCUCAUACACAUUAUUAAGCUGGGUUCUUAUGGCACACAUCAUAAGUAGGGUAGCUAUAGCGUCGUGUGAAGAAAUAGGUCAAAACGAAUAGGAUAACUAUCUGGCUAGCAGGCAGAGGAGUAUUUCAGCAAAGAAUUUUCAUGCCACUACAAUUAAUGGGGAGCAUCUUGUACGUCAGCCUCCCUGUAAUGGGGGCUGUCGCUUAUCUUCAAUAUGUUAACUCAUCAAUUAUUGUUGUCUUUAGUAGCAGGUCUAUAUUCAGCGCGAGCGAGAUUUUCUAUUAAAAACCGCUCGUCUUGUUAGUUCUAUAGGGGCCGUUCGAACUUUGCGUCUAUAAUGCCUUCUCUGUAAUAGUGACUGCAUAGCUAAAUAACCGAUAACAGGCAACAGCAAAAAGCAACUGUCAGUAUUGUGGACACCAAUUGCCAUCGUCGUUGUCGGCAUUGAGAUGAUCAGGAUCUUCAUCGCUUGCACCGCCCUCCUCUCAUAGGCCGUCUGCUUGUCACGCCCAAGACAAGUGUAUAUAUCCUAAUGACUUGUCUUGCUGACUGGUCCACUCGAGCAUUGUCUCUUGCCUGUUGCUUACUAUUCGUUGUGCAAUAGCUUUCCUCGUUGCGGACCGCCGCUAUCACAUCGAUAGCAUCACUCUUCGCCGUCGCUUAUUGGCAACACAUUUGUCGGCUGAAGAUUUAGCUAGAGCUAGCUGUCAUUGACCUAACGUGCCAUUGCUAGCAAGAAUGAGUCUCACAUACAUAGGGUUCUGAAGUUACCCCUCGUUGUCUUUAGCACACGAAAAGCAUAUGAAACUUGAUGACGACGACGACGACGAUGGCAGCGGCUGUGAUUGCAGCCCGUAAAAGAACAAGUCAAAUAUAAUAAACUUACUUGUGUAGCCAUUUGCUUUUCUCUCUCAAUAGAUAUGCGUGUGUAUCUGGAUAUAUAUGUGUGUAUACAUUAUAGAUGUGCAGUUAUCCCAAGAGUACUAUGCCGGUUCGUGCGCCCCUACAAAGCGAUACGGCGCCGAUCUUCCACGGUCAACAGCGUUUAACGGAGAGAGCGAGAGAGAGAGGUAGACAAUAAGGAGUUGGCAUAUCCUGUUACUUUGUUUAUAGCUUUCGCGCGGCGUGGGUGAAAAUUCGGACGCGAACGAGAAGUCUUCAAACCGUGGAUCACAAAACGGCGUCCUACAACGCUCGAGUCAUUCCGCGGGCCGCAAACUCCACACGGAGUAGACUGUAAAGUAAAACCGCCGACGACAAUAACAACAUACAGUGACGCAUACGGCGCUUAAGUUAAGCGGUGACGCCGCGUAGGAAUAUUACGGGGGCUGGCAAAAAGAUGGGGGAAAGUCCGAGAAGAUGGUAGAUAUGCACAAAACGUAUUGCUGUUGUGGCUCUUUUUGUACGACUGUAGCGAAGACAUGUUGAAGACCAUCGAGCAGCGCAACGGAUUGAGAUAUAUACGGUGACAGGCAGUGGAACGCUGUUGACGUCGGGAACGCGUAAAGACAAAGGACUCGCGGCAGAGAUCGUCGUACCAGCAGCAGCAGCAGCAGCAGCGGUAUUGCUGAAGGCAAUACUGUGGAGUACUUUACAGGGAAUGCCACAAAGACAGCGAGGAGAAAAGGUCCGCCAAAAACAUCAUUACAAGCAGGAACUGUAGAAGCAAAGUUUUCCUACAUCAACUACCUCGCCAUGAAGGUGCAAAGCCAGCGUUGACCUGAUUAGCUUCAGUGUGAAAGCAGUGUACUUGCGUCUUGUAAUCAUUACCGAUUUACCCUUCUAGAGUUCAGUCUGCUGGAAGACGCAUUAACUGAGAAACAGUCACCUUCAUAAGCGCAGGGAACCUUCAGCUAGGUACUGAUACAAGUGAAGAAAAGUCCACAGAUAAAUCUAGUGUUCUAUGU